AGAGUUUGAUCCUGGCUCAGAUUGAACGCUGGCGGCAGGCUAACACAUGCAAGUCGAGCGGAUGAGUGGAGCUUGCUCCAUGAUUCAGCGGCGGACGGGUGAGUAAUGCCUAGGAAUCUGCCUGGUAGUGGGGGACAACGUUUCGAAAGGAACGCUAAUACCGCAUACGUCCUACGGGAGAAAGCAGGGGACCUUCGGGCCUUGCGCUAUCAGAUGAGCCUAGGUCGGAUUAGCUAGUUGGUGAGGUAACGGCUCACCAAGGCGACGAUCCGUAACUGGUCUGAGAGGAUGAUCAGUCACACUGGAACUGAGACACGGUCCAGACUCCUACGGGAGGCAGCAGUGGGGAAUAUUGGACAAUGGGCGAAAGCCUGAUCCAGCCAUGCCGCGUGUGUGAAGAAGGUCUUCGGAUUGUAAAGCACUUUAAGUUGGGAGGAAGGGCAGUAAGUUAAUACCUUGCUGUUUUGACGUUACCGACAGAAUAAGCACCGGCUAACUUCGUGCCAGCAGCCGCGGUAAUACGAAGGGUGCAAGCGUUAAUCGGAAUUACUGGGCGUAAAGCGCGCGUAGGUGGUUCAGCAAGUUGGAUGUGAAAGCCCCGGGCUCAACCUGGGAACUGCAUCCAAAACUACUGAGCUAGAGUACGGUAGAGGGUGGUGGAAUUUCCUGUGUAGCGGUGAAAUGCGUAGAUAUAGGAAGG
This 700-nucleotide ribosomal RNA is filed under the name uncultured bacterium. RNAcentral describes it as "bacterial SSU rRNA". It matches the Rfam family "Bacterial small subunit ribosomal RNA", at positions 8 to 704 of the family's 1533-position model. The record is from RNAcentral.